GGUUCAGUGGUGUAGUUGGUUAUCACGUCUGUCUCACAUUGUGAUGUUCACAGGAGGUCUCCGGUUCGAGCCCGGACUGAACCA
Non-coding RNA from Fomitopsis pinicola, 84 nucleotides. Lineage: Eukaryota; Fungi; Basidiomycota; Agaricomycetes; Polyporales; Fomitopsidaceae. The record is from Rfam.